GUGGGGAAUUUUGGACAAUGGGCGCAAGCCUGAUCCAGCAAUGCCGCGUGCAGGAAGAAGGCCUUCGGGUUGUAAACUGCUUUUGUACGGAACGAAACGGUCCUGGUUAAUACCUGGGGCUAAUGACGGUACCGUAAGAAUAAGCACCGGCUAACUACGUGCCAGCAGCCGCGGUAAUACGUAGGGUGCAAGCGUUAAUCGGAAUUACUGGGCGUAAAGCUUGCACAGGCGGUUUUGUAAUACAGGAGUGAAAUCCCCGGGCUCAACCUGGGAAUUGCGCUUGUGACUGCAAGGCUGGAGUGCGGCAGAGGGGGAUGGAAUUCCGCGUGUAGCAGUGAAAUGCGUAGAUAUGCGGAGGAACACCGAUGGCGAAGGCAAUCCCCUGGGCCUGCACUGACGCUCAUGCACGAAAGCGUGGGGAGCAAACAGGAUUAGAUACCCGGGUAGUCC
This 450-nucleotide ribosomal RNA is filed under the name uncultured bacterium. Its description in RNAcentral is "bacterial SSU rRNA". It matches the Rfam family "Bacterial small subunit ribosomal RNA", at positions 354 to 796 of the family's 1533-position model. The record is from RNAcentral.